RNAcentral lists this transfer RNA (73 nucleotides) under Camelus bactrianus (Bactrian camel). It matches the Rfam family "tRNA". From Rfam's summary of the family: Transfer RNA (tRNA) molecules are approximately 80 nucleotides in length. Their secondary structure includes four short double-helical elements and three loops (D, anti-codon, and T loops). Lineage: Eukaryota; Metazoa; Chordata; Mammalia; Artiodactyla; Camelidae. RNAcentral also lists the same sequence under 3 other names. The record is from Rfam by way of RNAcentral.
GAGGGUAUAGCUCAGUGGUAGAGUGCAUGCUUAGCAACACAUGAGAUCCUGGGUUCAAUCCCCAGUCCCUCCA